Xyrichtys novacula (pearly razorfish) is the source of this 12791-nucleotide non-coding RNA. The record is from the annotation of a GenBank genome assembly. Lineage: Eukaryota; Metazoa; Chordata; Actinopteri; Labriformes; Labridae.
GUGAAGUGAAGCCAAAGCUGCUUCUUUUUAACGAAACAUCCAUCUAUUUAUAACGCUGUAAGUCAAAGGCUAGGAAGGAGCUUACUGAGACACCAGGGGCUGUGAGAAUGAAGACGUGAAAACUGGUCUGUGCAAGGGUAAGCAUUACAUUGACAAUACAACUGCAAACAGGGCCAUGGUAAAGAUUAGGGAUGCAUGAUCAUGACUAUGAUUCAAAAAUAGAGAAAUAUUUAUGGAUCAUUUUUCAUUUUAAUUAUCUUUUACUAACUUAUUCCUGAUCAUGUAGCAGAAACACUCAGUUUAAUAUGAAAGAGUACCCGAUAUAAACAACUGGAGGUAUUUGCUUAGUCCUCUGGUGACAGGCUGCAGUAUAGGUCAUAAAUCCCGCCUCCGCCAGCAAAGCUUGUGGGGCUGUGGACAAACUUCAGAAAUUUAUUACAAAGAACAUACAUUUUUCUCCCCCCUGCUUGUGAUGUUGACAUGUAGUUACUGUACGACUAGUUUGUGCUCAAGUCCUCUUUUUUCUGUACAGCUCCAUUUUUGAAGUUAUUAGGGGGUCAUGUUUUCUAUGAUUGACACCUGAUACAGCCUAUGGGCGUACAAGGUGUGCGUAGCUCACCCGGGGGAUACGCUGUUUGAGCCGAGCGUCAUCACAGCAACUCUUGGCGACUCUCCCGCGGAAUGCAAACAAUGCUACUGUGCAAUGUUGGUUCCAGGAAAUGGAGAGAAAACGCUGAAUUACACAGAAAUUUUUGGCUUCAAAUCCAUAUACUGGCGGAAGGCGGAGCCAAGUUGUCCAUAGAAUAUACAGUCAAUGCUUAUAUCCACUUAAGGUCCCACCCCGAUCUUUUUUUUUAUACCUAAAGUGUUCUCAGUGUUCUUUAAGUGGUGAUUAUUAAGUUUUUAGCCAUAAUCACGUUACUUGUGUCAUUUUUAAGGGCCUUUCUUCUGCAGAGCUCCAGUAGCUCAUUAGCAAUUCUCCUCUGAGUUGUGGGCGGAGACAGAGCUCCGGGGGACGGAGCUUGGAUUUGCUAUGUAGGAAAUCUCACUCUGUCUGAACCUGCCGUUUGGGUCUGCCAGAGGUUCACAGCGAUUUGAAUGAAGGAAUACGCAGAAAUGCAAUUUCAUACUUAUUUUUCCUCAUGAUAUGUCCUGUAGCAUCAGAAAAAUGCCAUAUGAACAUGUAGACAACAAGAAAAACAUGAUUUUCAUCAGAAUGGGUCUUUAACAAACCUAAACAGUUCACAGUAGGCAAUAUAAACAGAGAUGGAGAGCAACGAGCUGACAGUAGAGUAAAAAAUUUGUGUCACUGCAGAUGAGAAUAACACAGUUGCAACUUACAUACCAUGUGGCUCAAGUAUUUAACUGGAGGGGAAAGGCCCUUAUAUUUUAACAUAAGCAUUUUAAGAUGCCUAAAAAGUAAUCUCAUUGUUGCGAUGAAGAUGUAGACGCCGCAGUGGCUGCACAGCUAGCAUUAGUACUGCAAUAAGAUGAGUGCUGAGUCAGCAGGCAUUUAACUACUGCAGAAAGUUCACUAUAAGACCAUCAAAAGGCAAAUACUACCGGUCAUGAGUAUCAGCCUGUAAAAAGCCCAGUGAGAGAUGGAAGAAUGGGAUAUCAGUUAUGGCAAUGGAGCAGGCAUUGGAAUAUGCUAAAGAGGAGUCAAAGGAGAGAUAUAGAGGAAGAACUGAUAGAUGGAGGGAAACCAGAGCCGAUAAGUCAAACCUUGAAGUGACGGAUUCACAGCCUUCAUUUCCCUUUCAUAAAAACAGAGGAGCGGAUGGAUUCACCUUGGACAGGAUUUAUCAGUGUGUGAGGGUUGCAUGUGUGUCAGUGCCACAGUGUUGUAUAGUAAAGUGUAAACAGUACAACUUGAGGUGUUCUUAUCUGCUGUGAUAAACACAGUUUCCCAUGUUUCUAUCGUGGCCAUUUGCCUGAUUACGCUCAGUUUUAAGAGCAAAGUCAAACUGUUUUAUACGUAGUUAGAAGUUUCAAGAAUGGGAUGUUUCUGAGAAAUCACUGCCUUUCCAGUGCUUGAUGGAUCAGCAACUGAAAGACAGUUUACAUAGAAACCGUCUGGUGACAUUUCUUUAUUGCUGUUUUAUACAGUAGCUUAAAAGGUAGAGCAGCCGUCCAAUAACUGGAAGGUUAGCGGUUCAAUUCCCCCCUAUCCCCUAGUCUGUCCUUGUCUCCUUGUGCAAGAUGCUUAAUCCACCUUGCUCCCAGUGUUUUUCCACCACUGGUGUAUGAUUGUGAGUGAUGUGUGGUGGUGGUCGGAGAGGCCGUAGGCAGCUGUGACUAUGAAGGUAGUUUACCACCACCAGGGUGUGACUGUGUGAGCGAAUGAGUGAUGUAUCCAAUGUAAAGCACUUUGAGGGUCGCUUAUAAAGGGUUGUACAAAAUCUAAUGCAUUACAAUUAUUAUUAUUAUUAUUAUUAAGUAGAUGUUUUAUAAAAUACUAUGGAUACAGUUAUUUUAAAUGUGAAAUCAUUCUCGGGGGGACCAAAGUAAAUUUGAAAUGAAAUACCAAUAAUAAAGUGUAUAAAAUACAUUGAUUACAACGCAGAUCGUUUGUGUUUUCUGUACAUGGAAAAGUAUGAAGAUGAUAUGUCAAGACUGAUCUGAAUAUUAAGGGUAAAUUCUCAUAGGUUCUCAUCUUAUAUUCUCAUAGGACAGGUGGUUUGAGGUGAACUUCAUAUUUAGUGUCGUAGUCAUGGACACACUCGUUCACUAGUACAGUUUUAGUUAGGCAGUUGUCAUUAGAGCAGAUGAGCAGACUGCUUUGACAUUUUUGACAUUUAAUUUAUUGGCAGCUGUCCUUAAGAUCCAAGCAUACUGGUUAUGGUUGUCAGGCAAUGAUUACAUAUUCCACAUUAGAGAGAUGAGUAUAGCAUCUUAGCGUGGCAGAGACGUUUACUGCUAAAUUUGACACAAUAUCAAUCUUAUUGGCUCUGAUUCUUAAGUAUAACAACUCUAUAAAGUUGUCAGUGGUCUGUGUCGUUAGUCGAUCAAUAGAAGCUUUUCACCUGUUAGUUACUAAGUUUAUUCUUAAAGUGGUCACACACACACAGUUGGCGUAGUAUGUCCAUAACAGUUAAACAGUUUUCAUCUGUCUUUGGUUCUUUCUUUGAAAUUUUAUCAUCCACGGUUCUCAUAAAUAUUCAAAAAGGUUUGACAGUAAUCAAUACAGCACAUCAUACGUGUGGAAUAAUGCAGUCCCCUGAUGCAGUGUGCAGCUCUGACGCCUUGUUCCUGUAGGAGGACUCAUGUCAGCAGUGAUCGAUCACUCAGGGGCCACCCAUCACCGAGUGACGCUGACAAGUUGAAAGAGCUUUUGUUUUUUUUUUCCCUCUGAGAUGAAUGGAGGUGUGACUUUAUUGAAUAUCAAAACAUGAUCUCCAUAGUUUACCAUUAUGCAGUCAGUGUCCUCCAGUCCUUGAGGACAAUCUUGAAUUUGAAUAUCAAAUAUGUCGAUCACAUCGCUGAUAUAGACUAGAAAUCAGAUGUAUGACUUUUUAAAAACAAGAAAGCAUGAACAUAAUUUUAGUUCUGGUUCAGCAGAUAUAUUUUACUAGAAAAACUCAAAUUUAAAGAGGUAUUUCAGUACCUUUAAGUAUUUUUAUCGCUGGCUUUUAAGCUGGGACAUUUGAGGAGCUGAGAGACAGAUACAAAUGGAUUCUAUUUUCAAACACCUGCUGUGUCUAGACAACCUAAAUAUGCCAAUAGCUGAUCUGGCACACUGUCACUGGAGGCUUCGGGCCUAAAAAUCUCUCCUGGCAAAGAAAGAUUGUACUUGAACACAUGUGGGUAGAUGUUUUGUGCCUCUGGGUUGUUUGAUGAGAUGAAAAGAAAACUCUUUUUAUUCUAAAUUCAAAGACUCGCACACUUAGGGAGAGGAAAGCUCACUUUGUCUGUACCCAGAGGGGGUGUCAGCACGCAAAGUUUCCCACUCGGCUCUUUAUUCUGGUACAAAAAUACUCAAUAUCCACAUGCUGUAGCCUUCCUACACAAUAGGCUUUUCCUUUUUGUGUGAAAAUUCUGCAGAGUGGAAAAUACCACCUGCUGCCCUAUAAAGCUAAUGCUUGUCUCCAGGCGAGCAGUUAUCCCCUUACCUGCAGUGGCUAGAAGUUAUUUUUUUCCUUUUCUUGCCAAUCCCAGGCAGAGUCUAAAAUGGUGUUGAUAUGUUAGCACAAAGAAAAAAGACUGAAAUAGGAGAACUUAUUCUGCUCAGAAACUAUUUCAGGCACACCGAUCAAUAGUGCUUUUAAUUCAAACAAAGCCGAGCCAAAACACCAGAAUCCAGAAAUGAAAAAUUGACAACAUAUAAUGAAGACUUUUCCUUUUCUUACAAACAGUAAGUAAAUAAUGAAGAUGUUAAAACUUUUAGUCUCUUUUUUUAACAUGAAUCUCUACAAGGAAAGAGAGGAUGAAGUACAGAAUUUUUCACUCUAGAUUAUUUAAAAUAUCGCAGUUAAUAAUGAUAAUGAUAAUUAUGAGUUAAGUUUUAAUGAAAAAGAAACUUUCAGAUCCCUCUUGGGGAAAGUUUCUAGUAUGCAAUCCCAAAUCCCUUCUUAUGUGGUAAUCCUCAAAUCCGGAUAAAUUUGAUCUUCACUAGUUUUUCUCUGUAAAAGUGGGAUUAAAGAAAGCUUUGUUAACUGAUCCAGGAUAGCAUAAAAGUGGAGCUUCAGAUCCAGGUAACUCUUGAGCAAAGUAAACCUUUUGAACAACUGGGUACUGACCAUGUUGGGGAUGAAAGGGUUGUAAUGCGAAUUAAAAACCAGACAAGGUGAGCAAGACCUGACACAGCGGGUCUUGGAUCAGCCGGAAAGGGAUCUAACUUUCACAACCACGUUUACUAAACACUGUCCUUCACAUUUCCAAGAUCACGCUGCUUUCAUUCAAGGAGACAUGCAGUGACCUGUCAAUCAAAUGACCCACCGCUGGUGCAGUAAACGCCACAGUGAACGCUGCAUCAUACGCCCUGCAUCCCAUAUCUAAUUCAUUUACUUUCAGCAGUUAGCUCAGAGUUAAAGCAUCAGUUUUGUGUUUUUUAUUUGUCCGAUAACUCGCUAAUUAAUUAACGGUGUGAUCACCAACGAUCGCGCGCUAAUGCUAAUACUUGGCAUACGUGAGCUCCGCUGCACUUAUGUAUACUAAUACACAUGAGUCCAAGGUAGAGCCAUGUAAGAAAAAAAUGAAUUUUUAAAAGUGUGGCGGUGUACCACGAUCAAUAGCAUAUAGGGGAAACUGUUAUCUAGCGCUGUGUCUUCCUCAGCAAUGUAAACAAACAAUGUUGCCAGCAUUAUGCUGACUGCGGCUGCGAAGUGCAAGCUUUUGGCUGAGUGUUACUUACAGUUGACUUUAGAUAAGCUAAAAAGCAACGUUAAGUACUAUGUGAAUGUAAAAAAGCAUUGAUAAAAAUGUACUGUUUUUUGUUCUGUUUGAUUUCAAGAGAAUCUUGGAUAAAUAAUUGAAUUAAAUACUAAAAGGACAAGUUUUGUUUAUUUUCACUUUGGUUAAAUUCACUGUUAUAUUAAUCAGUUCAUAAAAAAAUAAUAAUCGAUAAAUUAGUUGACUAAUUGAAAAAAUAAUCGUUAGAUUAAUCGAUAAAAAAUUCAUCGUUAGGUACAGCCCUAUAUCUUUCGGAGGAGCCUUUUUUAUUCUGCAUCUUUUAUCUCUCUGUUGACCAAUGAACUCUGAGUGUGAAACAACAUGAAUAAAUAUAAAAAGUGUUUCCCUCCCUGAUGAAUCAUGGUUUUGGGUUGUUGAGUAAUUCGCCACUAAAAACAGUCCCCCACCUCUUUAUCACCUUCAGCCAGUUUAGCAGACUGGACCAGAGGAAACCAAAGCCUGAAGCGGCCCACUCACAUGCUACCUCACUUCUAUCUGCCUGCUCCUUUCUGUCUCUCUGUUUAAACUCCCAUUAACCAUUCACACUUAAUGGUUCUGGUAUUUCAGACAAUUUAAAGCCCCUCUCCGGCAGAGAGGACGGUGUGAUCGAGCGUGGCGGAGAGCUAAUUGAAGUCCGCUGACACCAUUAGCUAACUGCCAUCGGACUGAUAGCCAGUCGUAUAACAGGAGGCUGAGGGCUGAGCGAGAGAGACAGCUAGUGAUGAAGAACACAACAGUGAUUUCUUUCUCACAGGUCAGAGCGUGUCAACCUUAACAAGCUAAAGAGGGAGGGUGACAUGAAGGCAAAUACGGGUGGAAAUGCUUGAUUAUGCAGAGAUCAAAACCGAGAACAGCUUAGUAUUCACAGGCUCAUAUUUUGAUGUCUGUUUUUCACACAGUCUUGUAAUUAUUGUCAAAAUCUUUGAACAGAAGCAGCUACUGUACUGGUCCAGAACUGUGACACAAGGGGGGAAAAAGCUUUAUCAGUCUAAUCUGCAAAGGUCAUUGAAUUCAGUGACCUACCAGCUGCUGUCACAUACUGGCCUUUAUCUCUGCGCCUCACGUUAAUGCGCCGUGACUGUUGCCAUUGCUGAAAGGACUAACAAGGGUACGAUUGCGCAAAAGGGGCUUCAUUGUGGUGUAAAAGAAGACAGUGACAUUGCGUGCGUGUUUUUCAGCGUCUAAGUGCUCUUAAGGUGUAUAAGGCAUGAGUAUGUAUUAUGUAAGAUGAGUUUUUAAGUAUCUUCCAGCACCCUCUCUGGCAGUUGCCCACAGUGGAAAUCAAGCCUGCAGCCCUGGCAGUCUCAACAAUUGUAAAUCAUUAAACUAACCCCAGUCUGGCUUCAGGAGCGUAACAGAAGGAGCCUAAACAGGCCAGCAACAUGCUGAUCCGUGCCAUCGUCUCCCCCACUGUGCCAUGGAUUUGAUUUGGCUGCGACUGUCUUUAUUUCCCCUGGGCUGCACAGCUAUCACAGAGAGGCAAGGAGGUGAGCCAUCCCGCUGAAUGAAAAUACUCCCACAGAUGUGCAGUAUGUGAGGGACUAGCCCCUGGGACCAAUACCGGCUAAUGGCUAUCUGAUUGACUGGGCAAAGAGAGGAAGAGAGGCGAGGAAGUGAAGACGGGGAGUGCAGGGAGGUGACUAGCCUGUCUGCGUGUUUGUCUUUGAAUAUAAACUAUGCAGGGCAUGUUUAUGCAUGCUUAUGAGUCUGUGGUGUGUUUUUAUAUGUGCACUCUCUGUCCCCUCAUGCCUCUCAGCUUGUGUCCGUAAUGAGGGCUGCUUACAGUAUAAUGAAAGAUGCGGUCAGAUAAUGGAGGAGGUAAUUACUCGAGCGUGCAGCAGCCGCUGGUUAAGAAUAACAUCAUUGAUCGUACAGAUGUGGCAGCAUGACAGGCUGGAGAGGGAGCACAAAAGAAAAGAAAAGAAAAGAGGGAAAAAUCCACCCCGAAAAUAAACAGCUCAUCUGUCUGCCAUCCAAUCAAGGCAGCAGAGGCAUGUGCUACACAAGUGAGCAGAGUGAGCGUAUGCACGAACACACAAGCAUAUUCCAGCCCAGUGAAUUCCCUCCACAGGGGAAAUCUGCAGCUCUGUGAGUGAACCGUGGUUCAAACGGCUCCACUGAGCAGGGAAAUAUUUUGACUCAAGCCUAAAACACACAGGAUGCGUGUUUGGCGCGUUAUGUCAGCAUCACCUGCUAUGCUGCAAAUACGUUUGCAUGCAUAGACAUAAUAUGUAGACGCCUCAUUAAGUGCUGGAGCGUAAUCCAGCAUUGCCACCAUAUUGGAUGGGUCUACUCCUCUCACUCUAGGCUUCCACUUGAGGCGAACAGUGUCAACGGUUGCAAAAACCUAGUGUAAGGAUGCCAAGCCUAUGUUUACACUCGAAAGAAUGGAAGGUGCAUAAAUUAGACUCUCUCCAACAUAACAGUUUCAUGCCAUGUAAGAUAAGAUAAGAUGGACAUGGACACACCCACAUGCUGCACACAUAUUAUCCUUCACACACAACACAAAUUAGCUCAACCCACAACCCAUCAUCUCCAGCAGGGAUCGUUCCUUCAUAUUGAUUUCCUCUCAGAUAGCUGCAUGUAAGGCAUUAGGUUCUCUCUCUGGUUUCCCAGUUUCUUUGAGCCGCGGCUUUGUCGGAGCAUCUGUUCGCCUUUGUAAACAUUACCAGUGUGCCAAUAACAUGCAAUAAUUACAUGCACAUAUAAAGGACUUAAAUUCAUCAUAUAGACUAAAUUUACCGACAAAAUGUUGCAUUGAGGCGGCAAACAAGGUGGCAAGUUCAGUUGUUUAAUUCCAGCAGGACUCCACCCAGAACUGGUAAUUAUGGGCCCAGAUCUGCCCUUGAGUUAGCUUCAGAGUGCACACAUAUAUGUGUGUCUGUUUGUAUGUGUGCUAAUAUGUAUGGGGGGCUUUGUGUGUGCAGGGGUAAUUGCACAGGCUGUAGCAUUUCAUUACAAUAGAGGGCCUGGCGGCUAGGUGCUUCAAUGUCUGUCCCCAGAGGCUGCCUUUCUCCAUGAGCUCUAUGCAAUCAAUCCACUGACCUGCACAGCAAAGAAGGAGAGAUGGAUGUGAACAGGUGGACAGAGGGAUGGAUGGAUGGAUAGAAGAGAGAUAGAGGGAGGGAGAAAGAGACAGUCAGGGACUGAAGCAUGGCAAACAGGAUUGACGACAGAAAACUCCACUAGCAUAGAAAUCCCUUCAUUUCUGUCAGGAGGCCUCCUGUGGGCAGCUGGGAGAAAACGAACAAAGUCAGAGGCGCUGGAGAAAAGAGAAGAGAGGAAUACUGAACAAGUAUGACAGUGAAAACGGCCUCCUUUCGUCCUCCCUCCAUCCCUGAAGAGCGACUCUGUGACCACAGUCACGUACACUAAAUGCACACCUUCCCUGCAUCCUCCUGACAUGCUCAAACAACAAAUAAAAGAGUAUAAACUAUAAAGAGUCAAAUAAUCUUCAGGAAAUAUUGACAUUUCACUAUGAAAACUUUGCUGGUCUCAUUUAAACUUGUAGAGAGUGACAAUCAAGUAAAAAUAAUGAGUCAUAAGGAAACAGCCUGUAGUUUUAUUAUGUUUGUACCACACUUUAUUAUUUCAAUGAUCAAUUUUUGAAUAAAUGUCCAUAUUGAAAUAAAGCAACAGUGAUGCUGAUAAACAGAUUAAAAGAUGUGUGCCCAGCUCCUAAUUAGUGCAGAAAAGUUUGUUUGUUUCUCUUUUUUGUCUGAUUUAAUGUGAGUUACUUAUCAAAAGACAAAACACUGAAAUAGAAACAGAAAUUAAGAAAAGCUCAAAACUUUCAAUCCAAUCUAUUUGUCAGUCCAUUGAAUACAAAUCUGACACCAUUUGAACCCAGUAAACCAUCUCACAAAGGUAGAUAAAAAAUAAAGAAAAACAAACAGAACUCACCCACCCUCCUCCAGCAGCCGCUUGUUUGUGGGGGAGCCCUGACGAGUCAAUCACAGAGUGCAGCGCAGUUUCACAGCUCAAGGAAGAACAUUUAUGAUUAUUACUUCAUGGAAAUGCAAUCAGACCUAGACGCUGAGGCAGAAGAACUACCGCAUCUGCAGUGCAAAAUGAUUAUUAUGAUGAUUAUUACUUCAAGGAAAUGAUCCGCUGCACUCAGUGAUCGAUUCGUCAGGGCUACCCCCACAAAAACAAGUGGUUGCUAGUGGAGAGUGGGUGAGUUGUGUUUAGUCUCUUUGCUAAAGAAAUUAGGGUGGCUAGUACUAUGGCGGGGACCCUAUAUGUACUGUUGAUGAAGUUAGGUGCUGUUCUGAGCAUUAUUUAUGACUAUAGAGUAGCACUUUGGUUGAGGUUUGUGCAUGGAGACGGAGACCACUGCAUAUUGCUAUCAUGCAGUCACUGCUGAAGUUGGUAUAACUAGAGAAGCAAGCAGUCGGUAACAUUCAUCUCUUGAGGGGGCGUCUGACAAUAACUUAAAUUUAUGCCAGAAUAUCCCUUUAACAACUCCAAGAGCUGCCAAAACGUCAUGAUAAAAGGUAUAACAAGGUUAUUGCACAGGAGUAAGCUUAACAAAUAUGGCAUUAUCAUCUCCAAAGAUUCACAAGAAGCAGAGAACAGAACAGAGGCACUUUCCUUGACAGUGUUAUUAUUUAUUAUUCUACUUAAGACAGGAAGUGGGGGUAUCUUGGAGACAAUAGCUUUCAUGGAAGGAAAUGACUCAGCAGUGAGCGUAAGUGAUACUAAGCUGCAGAUAGAGCAGAGAUAGAGGGUGUGGUAUUACAAACAGUCCUGGACAGAUAUUACGAGAAAGACAUCAUUCAAAAAGCAUCAGAAAAUCAAGAGGUAGGAGGAAAAACUGCUUUUCUAUUAGCAUGCUGAUGUUAGUGCUGCAGAUAAACCUGAACACUUAAGUAGAUUUAGUAAUCAGACUGUUACAUUUUUAAGAGCAUGAUAAUGUUCCUCACACUGACAAUGUGGUGACAGCAUGACUGACAGCAAUGGGAAGUACUCCCCAUCAUAAAACAACUGAUACUUCCCCUUGCUGCAAAAAUCUGUCAGUUACAUUGUCAGGUUUUGUUAUUUAGCUUAAAGCACUCUACCUGAAUGUAUUCAACGUAGAUAAGUUCAGUUUAACCAAGCUCUGGAGCCUUGAGAGUGAACUUUCUCCUGUGGUUUGAAAUGACAUUUCUGAUGAGUUUGUUUUGGUCCACCAAAUGGCCGUAGAGCUCCUCCCUUGACACCAAAGUAAUACGGUAGAUUCCCUCUAAAGUGAUGCUACAGCGUGGCACACUUUUGAGCAGUAUAGAAGUGUAAUUUAAAAGUUGUACCCUGUCCAAUUUUUUCUGAAGGGUAAUCAACAACAGAGGACGUCAAAGUGCUGUGCUGGAAAGUCUAUGUGAUCAGACUGCAGUAUGAUUCAGGAAUAGGAACCUAUAGUGUAGGAAACACACUCGGCUAUAUAAGCAAGGAAACAGGAAGCAGUGCCUUAAACCUGGAAUGUGACUCUUAACUUUUCUUUGUAACAGCGCUCUCUUUUCCCUCACCCCAAAUGUAAACAGGAUCGCCUCUCCCUCUGAGGUCGUUUACUGAACACAAUGGCAGCUUUGAUCCGCAGUAACGAGAAAAGGAAAAAAAGUAUAUUAACACUGAGACUGUCCGGGAAAAGCAGCAUUUAGCUUCCUGAUACAUUUCACACAACUCUGUCUCUUUUUAUUUCAUGGGUCUGCUGUAUAGUUUUAAAGUGAAAGUGGGGUACAUCGUGUCUUUCACUAAUAGAGGCAAUACUGUAUGCCAACGGUGGCAUAUGGGAUGAAAGAAGCAGUGCAGUGUUUUUACAAAUUCCCCUUUUUUAUAUUACUUUCAAUUUCUUUUGUGAUUUUGCACAGCCAUGAUCAUGAAAACAACAUCAUUGAGAUUGAACAAGUACUGCGUCACCUGCUGUGAUGUUCUCAUUUUGUCUGCGUCACUCUGCAAUAGUCCACCAUAUAGUUCGCUGGUUAGCGGUGCGAUGUCGAUGCUUGUCGUAUCACCAGUUUGAAGUCCUGCUAUGUUCCCUCCUUGUUUGUGUUGAAUGUAGAUAAAUAUUGUGCUGCAGUUGAUCGUGCUUUCAUUAUUUUAUAGAACAACAAGGGGAGACAUCAGAGGAGAUGGUCAAUAAGGAGGUAGAGGAUGGAGGUGAUACUGGAAAUGUUAUUCCAAAGCAGAUUCAGUGUUGGGCUUGCAGUUCAAUUUGUUUUAACAUGUAGUUGGGCUUUUGAGUUAGCAUCAAGCGAAGGCUGUAAUUAACCAAAGAAAUUCUUGGUCGACUAAAACCCUGAAAUUUUCAACCAUUGAUUGACUUGGAUGCUCUUCAAUCUUCCUGUCUCUAGCUGGUCUCCAGUGGGUUGGGCGAAACCAAAAUGAUGAAAACAAGGGGCGUUUUCUGAGACAGGCUGUUACUUGUGAAACGGGGGUGCUCUGAAAACACCAGCAUUAGCAAUUGGUACGUUCCUCCUGAUGAAAUUGACCAUAGACUGUAAAUUGACGCAGAAAAAAAUUGAGUCGACCCAUCAGAAUUUUGGUCGACUCAGCACGUAUCGAACAAUAAGUCAACCAGUCGACUAGGACUUUACAGCCCUACAUCAAGCACAUGGGCCUCUGCAAAGGGUACAGAGCAACACCUAUGGCUACAUCAUGCAGGCCUAUCAUGUAGGCUGUGGGACUAUGGCGUAGGUCCAACAUAGAAGCAUAAACCAGGGUUAAGAAGGAUAGAGAACCAUGGUCAGUAUUGGGCUGGCAUUUUCCUGGUCACCCACUCAUGUGUGGGUCUACUGGCUUUAACUUUAGACUGUAUAUAACUGAACACUGUUGAUAUCAUUCAAUUGUUUCAAUCAAUCAAUCAGAUUUUAUUAGUACAGCACUUUUAAUACACUGAGAUGGAGCACAAAAUGCUUUACCUAAACAGAAAGUCCUUGAAAUCACUCAAAACCCAAAAUUAUGAAAGGUUAAAGACAAGCAGACGACAAGUAAUAAUAAUAACUGCUGAUUGAGAGUUUCACUUGUAUUAAUUACAGUUUGGGGACAACCCGAACCACUCAUCCCUCUUUGUUGUCAUUUUAAACUACAUCAAAUAAUAUCCAAGCAGAUGCCUUUUAAAAGUUUCCAUGUGAUAGUAAUAUCAAAUAUUACAGCUGCACUACAGCCCCAUGACAUAAUAGACCACAACAAGAGAGCGAUCAGGACAUUUGCAGUCCAUACAGCCUUGCACUCAAAGUUAACUCUAUUAACCAGCAGUCAGUCUUGUGUGUGGUUGAUCUGUACUUCUCUUCAACUAUCUUUGUCAGAGACGAUGUACAUUUACUCUUCGGCGCUCCCAUCAUAGGCCCGCAGACUCUCAGCUCUGUUCACGUUUGUAAUUCCAGCUGACUGAUUUCACCGCCAGGACUUGAGCGAUCUCUCUU